AAAUUGAAGAGUUUGAUCAUGGCUCAGAUUGAACGCUGGCGGCAGGCCUAACACAUGCAAGUCGAGCGGUAGCACAGAGAGCUUGCUCUCGGGUGACGAGCGGCGGACGGGUGAGUAAUGUCUGGGAAACUGCCUGAUGGAGGGGGAUAACUACUGGAAACGGUAGCUAAUACCGCAUAAUGUCGCAAGACCAAAGUGGGGGACCUUCGGGCCUCAUGCCAUCAGAUGUGCCCAGAUGGGAUUAGCUAGUAGGUGGGGUAAUGGCUCACCUAGGCGACGAUCCCUAGCUGGUCUGAGAGGAUGACCAGCCACACUGGAACUGAGACACGGUCCAGACUCCUACGGGAGGCAGCAGUGGGGAAUAUUGCACAAUGGGCGCAAGCCUGAUGCAGCCAUGCCGCGUGUGUGAAGAAGGCCUUCGGGUUGUAAAGCACUUUCAGCGGGGAGGAAGGCGGUGAGGUUAAUAACCUCAUCGAUUGACGUUACCCGCAGAAGAAGCACCGGCUAACUCCGUGCCAGCAGCCGCGGUAAUACGGAGGGUGCAAGCGUUAAUCGGAAUUACUGGGCGUAAAGCGCACGCAGGCGGUCUGUCAAGUCGGAUGUGAAAUCCCCGGGCUCAACCUGGGAACUGCAUUCGAAACUGGCAGGCUAGAGUCUUGUAGAGGGGGGUAGAAUUCCAGGUGUAGCGGUGAAAUGCGUAGAGAUCUGGAGGAAUACCGGUGGCGAAGGCGGCCCCCUGGACAAAGACUGACGCUCAGGUGCGAAAGCGUGGGGAGCAAACAGGAUUAGAUACCCUGGUAGUCCACGCCGUAAACGAUGUCGAUUUGGAGGUUGUGCCCUUGAGGCGUGGCUUCCGGAGCUAACGCGUUAAAUCGACCGCCUGGGGAGUACGGCCGCAAGGUUAAAACUCAAAUGAAUUGACGGGGGCCCGCACAAGCGGUGGAGCAUGUGGUUUAAUUCGAUGCAACGCGAAGAACCUUACCUGGUCUUGACAUCCACAGAACUUUCCAGAGAUGGAUUGGUGCCUUCGGGAACUGUGAGACAGGUGCUGCAUGGCUGUCGUCAGCUCGUGUUGUGAAAUGUUGGGUUAAGUCCCGCAACGAGCGCAACCCUUAUCCUUUGUUGCCAGCGGUUCGGCCGGGAACUCAAAGGAGACUGCCAGUGAUAAACUGGAGGAAGGUGGGGAUGACGUCAAGUCAUCAUGGCCCUUACGACCAGGGCUACACACGUGCUACAAUGGCAUAUACAAAGAGAAGCGACCUCGCGAGAGCAAGCGGACCUCAUAAAGUAUGUCGUAGUCCGGAUUGGAGUCUGCAACUCGACUCCAUGAAGUCGGAAUCGCUAGUAAUCGUAGAUCAGAAUGCUACGGUGAAUACGUUCCCGGGCCUUGUACACACCGCCCGUCACACCAUGGGAGUGGGUUGCAAAAGAAGUAGGUAGCUUAACCUUCGGGAGGGCGCUUACCACUUUGUGAUUCAUGACUGGGGUGAAGUCGUAACAAGGUAACCGUAGGGGAACCUGCGGUUGGAUCACCUCCUUACCUUAAAGAA
This 1550-nucleotide ribosomal RNA is filed under the name Klebsiella pneumoniae. Its description in RNAcentral is "bacterial SSU rRNA". It matches the Rfam family "Bacterial small subunit ribosomal RNA". Lineage: Bacteria; Pseudomonadati; Pseudomonadota; Gammaproteobacteria; Enterobacterales; Enterobacteriaceae. The record is from RNAcentral.